GAUGUGCCCAGAUGGGAUUAGCUAGUAGGUGGGGUAAUGGCUCACCUAGGCGACGAUCCCUAGCUGGUCUGAGAGGAUGACCAGCCACACUGGAACUGAGACACGGUCCAGACUCCUACGGGAGGCAGCAGUGGGGAAUAUUGCACAAUGGGCGCAAGCCUGAUGCAGCCAUGCCGCGUGUAUGAAGAAGGCCUUCGGGUUGUAAAGUACUUUCAGCGGGGAGGAAGGUGUUGAGGUUAAUAACCUCAGCAAUUGACGUUACCCGCAGAAGAAGCACCGGCUAACUCCGUGCCAGCAGCCGCGGUAAUACGGAGGGUGCAAGCGUUAAUCGGAAUUACUGGGCGUAAAGCGCACGCAGGCGGUCUGUCAAGUCGGAUGUGAAAUCCCCGGGCUCAACCUGGGAACUGCAUUCGAAACUGGCAGGCUAGAGUCUUGUAGAGGGGGGUAGAAUUCCAGGUGUAGCGGUGAAAUGCGUAGAGAUCUGGAGGAAUACCGGUGGCGAAGGCGGCCCCCUGGACAAAGACUGACGCUCAGGUGCGAAAGCGUGGGGAGC
This 553-nucleotide ribosomal RNA is filed under the name uncultured bacterium. RNAcentral describes it as "bacterial SSU rRNA". It matches the Rfam family "Bacterial small subunit ribosomal RNA", at positions 224 to 769 of the family's 1533-position model. The record is from RNAcentral.